This 406-nucleotide ribosomal RNA is filed under the name Globigerinella siphonifera. RNAcentral's name for it is "bacterial SSU rRNA". It matches the Rfam family "Eukaryotic small subunit ribosomal RNA", at positions 1287 to 1491 of the family's 1831-position model. Lineage: Eukaryota; Foraminifera; Rotaliida; Globigerinidae. The record is from RNAcentral.
GCCGUUCUUAGUUCGUGGAGUGAUCUGUCUGCUUAAUUGCGUUUCAAAUAUAUUUUAUUAUAUAACGAGUCUACAAAGGAGUGGUUCAUUAACAGACAAUCAUAUCUUUGAGCGUCUGGAAUCUACUCUAUUUGGCUCAAUUGAACGCAACGGACGUGAUCGCGAGUCCUUGUUGAACUUCAGUAUAUAUUGACUAUCCCCGUAGGAAGGGAUUGGCAAUAAUUGAAUGUUCGCUUUCUAUUAGGUGUGUAUAUAUAGUCUCAAAAUUACAUGUAUUUGUAAUGGCGAGUAAUAUUUAUACUAUCCUGUAGGAAAACUCGGGCGACCGCUGUAAUAUUUCUCUUUAAAACAGAGGAAGAUUGCGGCAAUAACAGGUCUGUGAUGCCCUCAGAUGUCCCGGGCCGCA